UGAAAAUCCUCAGAUUACUUGAAAAUGAAUCUUCACUUGUCCCUUGAUUUGCUAGAGCUAUUGAAAUUGAGCUAAUGGAGCCAAAAUUUUUCUUAGCGGUGUUUCUGUUGAUUUCUUCAACUGUCUCGGCUGAGUACAUCAGACCUCCACCUCGCAAAACCUUGUAUUUCCCAUGGCGUUCGACGCCUUCUUCUCAUCCCCAGCAGGUGCACAUCUCUUUGGCUGGAGACAAGCACAUUCGAGUGUCAUGGGUCACUGAUGAUAAAUCUUGUCUGUCAACUGUUGAAUAUGGAACUUCACCUGGAAGAUACAGUGCUGUGUCUCAUGGGGAGAGCACAUCUUAUAGUUAUCUAUUUUAUAGCUCUGGAAAGAUACACCACACUGUCAUUGGGCCAUUGGAACCCAAUACAGUUUACUUCUACCGAUGUGGAGGACAAGGUCCUGAAUUCCAACUGAAGACUCCUCCAGCUCAGUUGCCAAUUACUUUUGCUGUGGCUGGAGAUUUAGGCCAAACUGGCUGGACUAAAUCAACUCUAGACCAUAUUGACCAAUGUAAAUAUGAUGUGCAUCUGCUCCCUGGAGACCUUUCAUAUGCAGAUUACAUGCAGCACCGCUGGGACACAUUUGGAGAAUUGGUCCAGCCACUUGCUAGUUCAAGGCCAUGGAUGGUGACAGAAGGGAACCAUGAAGAAGAAAGUAUACCAAUAAUUAAGGAUGGAUUUCAAUCCUAUAAUUCUAGAUGGAAGAUGCCCUUUGAGGAGAGUGGUUCAAGUUCAAAUCUUUAUUAUUCUUUUGAAGUUGCAGGGGCCCAUGUUAUUAUGCUUGGUUCCUUUACGGAUUAUGAUGAGUAUUCAGAACAAUAUAACUGGCUCAAGGCUGAUCUAACUAAGUUGGACCGGAAUAAGACACCUUGGUUACUUGUGCUAGUCCAUGUUCCAUGGUAUAAUAGCAACCAUGCUCAUCAAGGUGAAGGGGAUGAGAUGAUGGCAGUUAUAGAGCCAUUACUUUAUGCUGCUGGUGUGGAUAUAGUGCUAGCUGGGCAUGUGCAUGCUUAUGAACGCACGGUACGGUACUAUACUUUCACUACUAGUUAAUUUCACGGGUCUUGGCUUAUGUUAUCUGGUGUUCUGUUUGACAGAAACGUGUAAAUCAGGGAAACUCUGAUGCCUGUGGUACUGUUCAUAUAACCAUUGGAGAUGGAGGAAACAAAGAAGGUUUAGCCCCCAAAUACAUAAAUCCACAGCCAGAAUGGUCAGUCUUCCGGGAGGCAAGUUUUGGUCACGGUGAACUCAAAUUAGUGAAUUCAACUCAUGCUUACUGGACCUGGCACAGAAAUGAUGAUGACGAGCCUGUUAGGUCUGAUCAAGUUUGGAUAACCUCUUUGGUUAGUUCAGGAUGCUUAGAUGGAAAAAGACAGCUAAGGAAGAUUCUAAUGUGACCUUAGAAUGGUUGCAUUUCCACUUCCCACAUUGCUAGAUUACAUCAAUGAGAGUUUAUGCUUUACAGGACAAUGUAAAUAUUUUACAUGCUUAUGUCAACCGAAUAGUUGGUGCUAGAAUUGGUAGACAAUGUAUUUUCAAUUAAAUUGUUGUCUCCAACUGAAUUGGUAAUCAAGCUCUCAACUCGAGUCUGUUCAUGCCUGUUAUCCUGUCAACGGUGUAUGACUGACUGGAAAUAGGCUUUAGUAAGUUUUACGUAUUGCAGCUUUUGUUGUUUUGUACAAGCAACUUAUGUUUUUAUUGAAUGAAUUGAACUUAUCAGACAUUAUGAAAGAUGAACAUUUUGG
This 1786-nucleotide unclassified non-coding RNA is filed under the name Hevea brasiliensis (rubber tree). Lineage: Eukaryota; Viridiplantae; Streptophyta; Magnoliopsida; Malpighiales; Euphorbiaceae. The record is from RNAcentral.